GUCUGAUUAGCUAGUUGGUGAGGUAAAGGCUUACCAAGGCUUCGAUCAGUAGCUGGUCUGAGAGGACGACCAGCCACACUGGGACUGAGACACGGCCCAGACUCCUACGGGAGGCAGCAGUGGGGAAUUUUGGACAAUGGGGGAAACCCUGAUCCAGCCAUGCCGCGUGAGUGAAGAAGGCCUUCGGGUUGUAAAGCUCUUUCAGCCGGAACGAAACGGUCACGGUUAAUACCCGUGAUCACUGACGGUACCGGAAGAAGAAGCACCGGCUAACUACGUGCCAGCAGCCGCGGUAAUACGUAGGGUGCGAGCGUUAAUCGGAAUUACUGGGCGUAAAGCGUGCGCAGGCGGUUUUGUAAGUCAGAUGUGAAAUCCCCGGGCUCAACCUGGGAACUGCGUUUGAAACUACA
RNAcentral lists this ribosomal RNA (410 nucleotides) under uncultured Nitrosospira sp. RNAcentral's name for it is "bacterial SSU rRNA". It matches the Rfam family "Bacterial small subunit ribosomal RNA", at positions 235 to 637 of the family's 1533-position model. Lineage: Bacteria; Pseudomonadati; Pseudomonadota; Betaproteobacteria; Nitrosomonadales; Nitrosomonadaceae. The record is from RNAcentral.